RNAcentral lists this transfer RNA (72 nucleotides) under Bacteroidales bacterium. RNAcentral describes it as "tRNA-Pro". It matches the Rfam family "tRNA". Rfam says of the family: Transfer RNA (tRNA) molecules are approximately 80 nucleotides in length. Their secondary structure includes four short double-helical elements and three loops (D, anti-codon, and T loops). Lineage: Bacteria; Pseudomonadati; Bacteroidota; Bacteroidia; Bacteroidales. The record is from RNAcentral.
GUUCCUUUAGUUUAAGUAGGGAGAAUGGCUGGCGUGGAGUCAGAGAUGUGGGUUCGAGUCCCAUAGGGAACA